RNAcentral lists this ribosomal RNA (759 nucleotides) under uncultured bacterium. RNAcentral's name for it is "bacterial SSU rRNA". It matches the Rfam family "Bacterial small subunit ribosomal RNA", at positions 61 to 808 of the family's 1533-position model. The record is from RNAcentral.
GUCGAGCGAGAAAGCCCUUUCGGGGUGAGUAGAGCGGCGGACGGGUGAGUAACGCGUAGGAAUCUACCCAGUAGCGGGGGACAACAUGUGGAAACGCAUGCUAAUACCGCCAAUACGCCUUUCGGGGGAAAGCGUGGGACCUUUCGGGCCCACGCACUAUUGGAUGAGCCUGCGUAGGAUUAGCUAGUUGGGGGGGGUAAAGGCCUACCAAGGCGACGAUCCUUAGCUGGUCUGAGAGGAUGAUCAGCCACACUGGAAACAGAGACACGGUCCCAGACUCCUACGGGAGGCAGCAGUGGGGAAUAUUGCGCAAAUGGGGGGAAACCCUGACGCAGCCAUGCCGCGUGUGUGAAGAAGGCUCUAGGGUUGUAAAGCACUUUCAGCGGGGAGGAAAAAGCUAGUAGUUAAUAACUGCUAGCCGUGACGUUACCCGCAGAAGAAGCACCGGCUAACUCCGUGCCAGCAGCCGCGGUAAUACGGAGGGUGCAAGCGUUAAUCGGAAUUACUGGGCGUAAAGCGCGCGUAGGCGGCUUGGUCAGUUGGAUGUGAAAGCCCCGGGCUCAACCUGGGAACUGCAUUCAAUACUGCCAAGCUAGAGUAUGGGAGAGGGUUGUGGAAUUCCACGUGUAGCGGUGAAAUGCGUAGAUAUGUGGAGGAACAUCAGUGGCGAAGGCGGCAGCCUGGCCCAAUACUGACGCUGAGGUGCGAAAGCGUGAGGAGCAACGGGAUUAGAUACCCUGGUAGUCCACGCCGUAAACG